This 253-nucleotide ribosomal RNA is filed under the name uncultured bacterium. RNAcentral describes it as "partial 16S ribosomal RNA". It matches the Rfam family "Bacterial small subunit ribosomal RNA", at positions 524 to 776 of the family's 1533-position model. The record is from RNAcentral.
UACGUAGGUGACCAGCGUUGUCCGGAUUUACUGGGCGUAAAGAGCGCGCAGGCGGUCGUUCAAGUCGAGUGUGAAAGCCCCCGGCUCAACCGGGGAGGGUCACUCGAUACUGAUCGACUUGAAGGCAGGAGAGGGAAGCGGAAUUCCCGGUGUAGUGGUGAAAUGCGUAGAUAUCGGGAGGAACACCAGUGGCGAAGGCGGCUUCCUGGCCUGUUCUUGACGCUGAGGCGCGAAAGCUAGGGGAGCAAACGGG